Molecule: long non-coding RNA, 1575 nt
Organism: Hyla sarda
Lineage: Eukaryota; Metazoa; Chordata; Amphibia; Anura; Hylidae
Exons: 5
Source: RefSeq, a predicted model, not a curated record
AGCUAGGGCCUCAUUAAGACUAGGUGCUCAUACCAUCACAGGCAGAGAAUUAAUUACUUGUCAAACGACUUUUGUAAUAUAUGCCCUGAUAUGCCCUAGCAUCUUUUUUUUGCAUUGGUAAAACUAAAAGAAAGUUAAAUCAGCGUGUGAAAGAGCACCUCAGAUCUUUAAAAACGAAAGUAGGUGCCUCUCGCUUUAUAAACCAUAUAGAAUCUUGCCACCAUAAUGAUCCCAGAGGUGUAAAGUUUGCAGGCAUAGAACAUGUUAAUUGCCCAAGAAGGGGAGGAGAUCGACACAAGCUGCUGCUCCAUUCAGAAGCUAGAUGGAUCAUGAAACUUGAGGCAUUAGGUCCACUAGGCCUAAAUGAGCUGAAUGAGUUAAAUGUUUUCCUUUGAUUCCCAGUAGGUAAUGUUGUUUUUAACUGUUUGUGGAUUUACGACAUAUUACUAGUGGUUUUACUAUAUGUUUUCUGGUUUCUAUGGUUACACACUAUGUUAAAAGCACGUACCUGUAGGGGGAUGACAUCACCAGGGGCCUGAGGAAGCGUCGACAGGCGUGAAACGACCGCCAUCGUCCAGGUGAGACGUCCCUGCUGUUUGCUGCUCUGCACGUUGCACUUUGGGGAUGCUGCUGUUAUAAUUUGGUCUUCUUAUGUACUAGACACGCUGCUGAAUAAAAGAGCUGCAUGAAGAUCUUCCUCGAGGGAACAGGAAGAUGUGGAGUACAGUGAGGAUGUGGAGCUGUCUGAAAGGCAGUUGUGGGGAAUCAGGCAAGUUAAAUCUAGAGCCCCACAACAUGUAAAGAAGAGACUUGGCAUCAGCUGUCAGCCCCCCUUGGCGUUGCAUUUAUCCUAUAGAGUUUCAAGUUACCUGACAACACAGUGAAGACAGCAGAAAACGCAUUUAACUUCAGACCAUCCACAACGUUAUUUGACUGAAAGAAUUCUAGGCACAUGAGGCUGAAUCCAACGACUAACAGUAAAAUGAACAGCACUUCAGACACCACGGACAGCCAAAGUACACCUGAAACACAGAACAGCAACAAAGAGGUAAUCUGGGUUCAAUGAUGGUUUUCAAGGCCUAAUGGUAAAAAGUAAAUGCUGAACCUACACUAUCUAUCCCAGCCAAACCACCUGUAAUAUAUACGUAUAUGGUUUUUAUCAUCUCAAAUUGGCGUUCUAUUCCAAGACUUUCAUUUUCUGCCUUUUACCAUAUCAAAGAAUCCCCUGAAGAUAGAAUGCUUCCUGUCACAGAAUGCAAUGCUGCUUCUGGAAUUCCAAUGUGGCUGGGUAUAAAAGAGAAGGUUUGAUGCACAGAACCAGAAAGACAGUUUAAUUGCUUGAGAAGAAAUACUGAAAAAGAGAAAUGCACAAGCUAGUGAAGGAUUCCGAGAGCGAGAACACUUCGAUGUCUACAUUUUGCACCUGUUUUUUUUCUUCUUCUUUGGAUUAACCGAAAAGUUAAAAACAUUAAAAUGUAAAACCCUGCGACACAUUAUGGAUAUUGAGACAUUAACAUUUUUUCGGGUAAAUUCUAAAGUCUUCUGUAUAAAUCCACUGUUUUGGUUUGCAAUUUA